CUCGGCAACGGAUAUCUUGGCUCUCGCCUCGAUGAAGAACGCAGCAAAAUGCAAUACUUGGUGUGAAUUGCAGAAUCCCGUGAACCAUCGAGUUUUUGAACGCAAGUUGCGCCCGAAGCCAUUAUGCUGAGGGCACGUCUGCCUGGGCGUCACGCACAA
Molecule: ribosomal RNA, 159 nt
Filed under: Fraxinus velutina
Lineage: Eukaryota; Viridiplantae; Streptophyta; Magnoliopsida; Lamiales; Oleaceae
Description: 5.8S ribosomal RNA
Rfam family: 5.8S ribosomal RNA
About the family: 5.8S ribosomal RNA (5.8S rRNA) is a component of the large subunit of the eukaryotic ribosome. It is transcribed by RNA polymerase I as part of the 45S precursor that also contains 18S and 28S rRNA.
Source: RNAcentral